RNAcentral lists this ribosomal RNA (560 nucleotides) under Escherichia coli. RNAcentral's name for it is "partial 23S ribosomal RNA". It matches the Rfam family "Bacterial large subunit ribosomal RNA", at positions 582 to 1142 of the family's 2925-position model. Lineage: Bacteria; Pseudomonadati; Pseudomonadota; Gammaproteobacteria; Enterobacterales; Enterobacteriaceae. The record is from RNAcentral.
GAGCAAUCUGUGUGACUGCGUACCUUUUGUAUAAUGGGUCAGCGACUUAUAUUCUGUAGCAAGGUUAACCGAAUAGGGGAGCCGAAGGGAAACCGAGUCUUAACUGGGCGUUAAGUUGCAGGGUAUAGACCCGAAACCCGGUGAUCUAGCCAUGGGCAGGUUGAAGGUUGGGUAACACUAACUGGAGGACCGAACCGACUAAUGUUGAAAAAUUAGCGGAUGACUUGUGGCUGGGGGUGAAAGGCCAAUCAAACCGGGAGAUAGCUGGUUCUCCCCGAAAGCUAUUUAGGUAGCGCCUCGUGAAUUCAUCUCCGGGGGUAGAGCACUGUUUCGGCAAGGGGGUCAUCCCGACUUACCAACCCGAUGCAAACUGCGAAUACCGGAGAAUGUUAUCACGGGAGACACACGGCGGGUGCUAACGUCCGUCGUGAAGAGGGAAACAACCCAGACCGCCAGCUAAGGUCCCAAAGUCAUGGUUAAGUGGGAAACGAUGUGGGAAGGCCCAGACAGCCAGGAUGUUGGCUUAGAAGCAGCCAUCAUUUAAAGAAAGCGUAAUAGCU